AUACGGAGGGGGUUAGCGUUGUUCGGAAUCACUGGGCGUAAAGCGCGCGCAGGCGGUCUUUUAAGUUGGAUGUGAAAGCCUACGGCUCAACCGUAGAACUGCAUCCAAAACUAUUAGACUAGAGUGUGGGAGAGGAAGAUGGAAUUAGUUGUGUAGGGGUAAAAUCCGUAGAGAUAACUAGGAAUACCAAAAGCGAAGGCAAUCUGCUGGAACACUACUGACGCUGAGGCGCGAAAGCGUGGGGAGCAAACAGGAUUAGAUACCCCGGUAGUCC
RNAcentral lists this ribosomal RNA (274 nucleotides) under uncultured bacterium. RNAcentral describes it as "partial 16S ribosomal RNA". It matches the Rfam family "Bacterial small subunit ribosomal RNA", at positions 523 to 796 of the family's 1533-position model. The record is from RNAcentral.